AACUGUACUCACAGUGAAGACGCUGGAGUCAUUUGUUCAGAAGUAAGACUGGUUGGAGGUUCUCGCUGCUCUGGGAGGUUAGAGAUCCUUCAUAAUCAGACGUGGAUGUCAGUGUGUGAUGCUGUCUUUGACCAGCAGGAUGCAGAGGUUGUGUGUAGAGAGCUGGACUGU
This is a long non-coding RNA of Carassius gibelio (silver crucian carp), 171 nucleotides long. RefSeq lists it as uncharacterized. The transcript is spliced from 3 exons. The record is from RefSeq and is a predicted model, not a curated record. Lineage: Eukaryota; Metazoa; Chordata; Actinopteri; Cypriniformes; Cyprinidae.